AUGAGCAUGGAACCAUCGUCAUGGGUGGUACCUUGCUACUCGGGCUGGUCCAUGGAAGAAGCAGCUGCGUGGAGUAGUGAAGAUAGGAUUAGCUUCCAAACAUCCUUGCCUAGCCAUAGUGAUAGUGUGCAGCUGCAGAUGGUUGAGUAUGCAGCCCCAGCCACACCCACACCCACACAGGAUAAUGACUGUAGUGAUCCGACGAUCCAGGUGUUCAAGGAAGUAGUGCAAUCGUUCCAUACUGACUAUUUGGACAGUAUGGAACGGAAGAUGCACAAGAUCCCUCCAAGCCUGAUAUGUGUUGGCAAAUGGUACAUCCAACCGGUGACUGUGGCCAUCGGUCCUUACCACCAUGGUCUUCAUCCCGGCGUGCUGGAGGCGGAGAGGGUGAAGCAUGUGGCCGCAACCCAAUGCAUCACGGACUCGGGCCGCCCAGUCCAGGAGAUGUACGAUGCCGUCUUCGCCGUGUCCGCCGACGCCCGCAGCCUCUACUACCCGGACGAGUUGGCGAGAUUCCGUGACGACGACUUUUUGCCGAUGAUGUUCCUUGAUGGUUGCUUCUUGGUGCAGUUCAUGCGUUGCUAUGGCGAUGAUGUCGACGGCAUGGAUGAGGCGCUGAACAGAUAUUUCUGCGCCAACUAUGUGCGCAUCUACACCGACAUCAUGAUGCUUGAGAACCAAAUCCCCUGGGUGGUGGUCAAAACUAUCUUGGACUUCAUGCCAGAGCCCUCCCUCUGGGAGAAGUUCGUCACUGCGAUGAGGGCCGGCAUGACAAACCAAAUGUAUUCUAAGGAAGUCCCACCCAUCGAUCUAGAUCCUACCUAUAAACCGCCGCAUCUCCUCGCCCUUAUCCGGUUCUACAUCGUGGGGAACAACGACGACAUCAAAGUCGAUCGCCCCACCGCUCCGGGCGGAGACAAGCCCAUGUCAUUAUCCAUCAGCGUCGCCGAGCUUGCCAGCGUCGGUAUCACAAUCGUACCCGAGACAGAAAUGUCAGGGUUAGUGCACAUGACCCUCCAAAAGGAAAGGUUAGUGCACAGGGGCCUCUGCGGGAAAAAGUUUGGCUUCUUAUUCGGCGAUCUCCGCGUGCCACCCCUGUUCCCAACCGACGCAAAUGCGACUUGGCUCGUCAACAUGGCGGCCUUCGAGUUAUGCAAGACCCCAGACUUCGAAGGUGAUGAUGUUAAAGAUGAAGAUUCGGCUGUCUGCUCCUACCUCCACCUCUUCGCCAUGCUGCUGGACCAGGAGGAACACGUGCAUGACCUGCGGAAAACAAAGGUCAUCGAAGGAGGAGGACUCACCAGCAAGGAGAUGCUCGAUUUAUUCACUGGAAUUGGCAAGAACAUGCGCCUCGGAAAGUGCUACCUCGACAUAAUAAUAGAGAUCGAGAAGUUCAAGCAGAGGAGGUCAAUUUGGCUCAAGUUGUAUCUCUUCUUUAUCAAGCACUGGACUAAAAUCAUGGCGGUGGUCACGGUCGUUGGUGCAGUGAUCGGCAUCUUGUCAUCGCUCCAAGCUCUCAAGCCAAGCUAA
RNAcentral lists this ribosomal RNA (1530 nucleotides) under Triticum aestivum (bread wheat). RNAcentral describes it as "partial small subunit ribosomal RNA". The record is from RNAcentral. Lineage: Eukaryota; Viridiplantae; Streptophyta; Magnoliopsida; Poales; Poaceae.